Molecule: unclassified non-coding RNA, 314 nt
Filed under: plant metagenome
Description: partial contains 5.8S ribosomal RNA, internal transcribed spacer 2, and large subunit ribosomal RNA
Rfam family: 5.8S ribosomal RNA (bases 1-105)
Source: RNAcentral
GAAAUGCGAUAAUUAAUGUGAAUUGCAGAAUUCAGUGAAUCAUCGAGUCUUUGAACGCACAUUGCGCCCCCUGGUAUUCCGGGGGGCAUGCCUGUCCGAGCGUCAUUGCUGCCCUCAAGCACGGCUUGUGUGUUGGGCUUCCGUCCCUGGCAACGGGGACGGGCCCAAAAGGCAGUGGCGGCACCAUGUCUGGUCCUCGAGCGUAUUGGGCUUUGUCACCCGCUCCCGUAGGUCCAGCUGGCAGCUAGCCUCGCAACCAAUCUUUUUAACCAGGUUGACCUCGGAUCAGGUAGGGAUACCCGCUGAACUUAAGC